UCGACGAACUCUGGUAUUGAUUGGUGCUUGCAUCAUGAUUUACAUUUGAGUGAGUGGCGAACUGGUGAGUAACACGUGGGAAACCUGCCCAGAAGCGGGGGAUAACACCUGGAAACAGAUGCUAAUACCGCAUAACAACUUGGACCGCAUGGUCCGAGUUUGAAAGAUGGCUUCGGCUAUCACUUUUGGAUGGUCCCGCGGCGUAUUAGCUAGAUGGUGAGGUAACGGCUCACCAUGGCAAUGAUACGUAGCCGACCUGAGAGGGUAAUCGGCCACAUUGGGACUGAGACACGGCCCAAACUCCUACGGGAGGCAGCAGUAGGGAAUCUUCCACAAUGGACGAAAGUCUGAUGGAGCAACGCCGCGUGAGUGAAGAAGGGUUUCGGCUCGUAAAACUCUGUUGUUAAAGAAGAACAUAUCUGAGAGUAACUGUUCAGGUAUUGACGGUAUUUAACCAGAAAGCCACGGCUAACUACGUGCCAGCAGCCGCGGUAAUACGUAGGUGGCAAGCGUUGUCCGGAUUUAUUGGGCGUAAAGCGAGCGCAGGCGGUUUUUUAAGUCUGAUGUGAAAGCCUUCGGCUCAACCGAAGAAGUGCAUCGGAAACUGGGAAACUUGAGUGCAGAAGAGGACAGUGGAACUCC
RNAcentral lists this ribosomal RNA (642 nucleotides) under Lactiplantibacillus plantarum. RNAcentral describes it as "bacterial SSU rRNA". It matches the Rfam family "Bacterial small subunit ribosomal RNA", at positions 62 to 670 of the family's 1533-position model. The record is from RNAcentral. Lineage: Bacteria; Bacillati; Bacillota; Bacilli; Lactobacillales; Lactobacillaceae.